AAUCAACGCUGGCGGCGUGCCUCAGACAUGCAAGUCGAACGCGAAAUUUCCCCGCAAGGGGAGAAAGUAGAGUGGCGCACGGGUGAGUAACACGUAGGUAAUCUACCUUCGGAUGGGGAAUAACAAUCGGAAACGAUUGCUAAUACCGCAUAAUGCAGCGGCACCUAAUGGUGACAGUUGUUAAAGCGGGGGAUCGAAAGACCUCGCGUUUGAAGAGGAGCCUGCGGCGGAUUAGCUAGUUGGUAAGGUAAUGGCUUACCAAGGCAACGAUCCGUAACCGGCCUGAGAGGGCGGUCGGUCACACUGACACUGACAUACGGGUCAGACUCCUACGGGAGGCAGCAGUCGGGAAUUUUGGGCAAUGGGCGAAAGCCUGACCCAGCAACGCCGCGUGAAGGAUGAAAUCCCUCGGGAUGUAAACUUCGCAAGAACGGGAAGAAUAAGUAGGGAUAUACCCCUAUGAUGACGGUACCGUUUGUAAGCUCCGGCUAACUCCGUGCCAGCCGCCGCGGUAAC
RNAcentral lists this ribosomal RNA (516 nucleotides) under uncultured bacterium. RNAcentral describes it as "bacterial SSU rRNA". It matches the Rfam family "Bacterial small subunit ribosomal RNA", at positions 32 to 524 of the family's 1533-position model. The record is from RNAcentral.